ACAAUGGGGGCGUGCUAAUACAUGCAAGUCGAGCGGAUCUUCAUUAGCUUGCUUUUGAAGAUCAGCGGCGGACGGGUGAGUAACACGUGGGCAACCUGCCUGUAAGACUGGGAUAACUUCGGGAAACCGGAGCUAAUACCGGAUAAUCCUUUCCCUCACAUGAGGGAAAGCUGAAAGACGGCUUCUCGCUGUCACUUACAGAUGGGCCCGCGGCGCAUUAGCUAGUUGGUGAGGUAACGGCUCACCAAGGCAACGAUGCGUAGCCGACCUGAGAGGGUGAUCGGCCACACUGGGACUGAGACACGGCCCAGACUCCUACGGGAGGCAGCAGUAGGGAAUCUUCCGCAAUGGACGAAAGUCUGACGGAGCAACGCCGCGUGAACGAUGAAGGCUUUCGGGUCGUAAAGUUCUGUUGUCAGGGAAGAACAAGUACCGGAGUAACUGCCGGUACCUUGACGGUACGUGACCAGAAAGCCACGGCUAACUACGUGCGAGCAGCCGCGGUGAUACGUAUGUGGCAAGCGUUGUCCGGAAUUAUUGGGCGUAAAGCGCGCGCAGGCGGUUCCUUAAGUCUGAUGUGAAAGCCCCCGGCUCAACCCGGGGAGGGUCGUUGGAAGCUGGGGGAACUUGAGUGCAGAAGAGGAGAGCGGAAUUCCACGUGUAGCGGUGAAAUGCGUAGAGAUGUGGAGGAACACCAGUGGCGAAAGCGGCUCUCUGGUCUGUAACUGACGCUGAGCGCGAAAGCGUGGGGAGCGAACAGAUUAGAUACCCUGGUAGUCCACGCCGUAACGAUGAGUGCUAGUGUUAGAGGGAUUUCCGCCCUUUAGUGCUGCAGCAACGCAUUAAGCACUCCGGCCUGCGUAGUACGGUCGGCAAGCUGGAACUCAAUGAAUGACCCGAGCCGCCACAGCGUGUAGCAUGUGAUUACUCCGAAGCACGCGGACAUCUUACAGUCUGACAUGCUCUGACAUCUAAGAGUCGUCUUCCAUCAGGUACGAGC
Molecule: ribosomal RNA, 1000 nt
Filed under: Bacillus sp. (in: firmicutes)
Lineage: Bacteria; Bacillati; Bacillota; Bacilli; Caryophanales; Bacillaceae
Description: bacterial SSU rRNA
Rfam family: Bacterial small subunit ribosomal RNA
Source: RNAcentral